AACGAACGCUGGCGGCAUGCCUAACACAUGCAAGUCGAACGAGACCUUCGUGUCUAGUGGCGCACGGGUGCGUAACGCGUGGUAACCUGCCCUUAGGUUCGGAAUAACUCCCCGAAAGGUGUGCUAAUACCGGAUAAUGUCUUCGGACCAAAGAUUUAUCGCCAUUGGAUGGGCGCGCGUUGGAUUAGUUAGUUGGUAGGGUAAAAGCCUACCAAGGCGACGAUCCAUAGCUGGUCUGAGAGGAUGACCAGCCACACUGGGACUGCGACACGGCCUAGACUCCUACGGAAGGGAGCAGUGGGGAGUAUUGGGCGAUGAGCGAAGGCCUAAUCCAGCAAUGUGGCGUGAGUGAUGAAGGGCUUAGGGUUGUAAAGCCCUUUUACACGGGAUGAUAAUGACAGUACCGGGAGAAUAAGCUCCGGCUAACUCCGUG
Molecule: ribosomal RNA, 433 nt
Filed under: uncultured bacterium
Lineage: Bacteria
Description: partial 16S ribosomal RNA
Rfam family: Bacterial small subunit ribosomal RNA
Source: RNAcentral